This 328-nucleotide ribosomal RNA is filed under the name uncultured bacterium. RNAcentral's name for it is "bacterial SSU rRNA". It matches the Rfam family "Bacterial small subunit ribosomal RNA", at positions 568 to 898 of the family's 1533-position model. The record is from RNAcentral.
UGCGUAGGCGGACCUUUAAGUCAGUGGUGAAAGUUUGCGGCUCAACCGUAAAAUUGCCAUUGAAACUGAAGGUCUUGAGUGUAAAUAAGGUAGGCGGAAUGUGUUGUGUAGCGGUGAAAUGCUUAGAUAUAACACAGAACACCAAUUGCGAAGGCAGCUUACUGGGAUACAACUGACGCUGGGGCACGAAAGCGUGGGGAUCAAACAGGAUUAGAUACCCUGGUAGUCCACGCAGUAAACGAUGAAUACUAACUGUAUGCGAUAUACUGUAUGUGGUAAAGCGAAAGCGUUAAGUAUUCCACCUGGGGAGUACGUUCGCAAGAAUGAA